GUACUACUCUCAGAGUUUGAUCCUGGCUCAGGAUGAACGCUAGCUACAGACUUAACACAUGCAAGUCGAGGGGCAGCACGGUGUAGCAAUACACUGGUGGCGACCGGCGCACGGGUGCGUAACGCGUAUCCAACUUUCCCGUUACUCUCGGAUAGCCUUCCGAAAGGGAGAUUAAUACGAGAUGGUGUCCAGUUUCCGCAUGUUUACUGAACUAAAGAUUCAUCGGUAACGGAUAGGGAUGCGUGACAUUAGAUAGUUGGCGGGGUAACGGCCCACCAAGUCUACGAUGUCUAGGGGUUCUGAGAGGAAGGUCCCCCACACUGGAACUGAGACACGGUCCAG
This 342-nucleotide ribosomal RNA is filed under the name uncultured bacterium. RNAcentral describes it as "bacterial SSU rRNA". It matches the Rfam family "Bacterial small subunit ribosomal RNA", at positions 1 to 334 of the family's 1533-position model. The record is from RNAcentral.